RNAcentral lists this ribosomal RNA (782 nucleotides) under uncultured bacterium. RNAcentral's name for it is "bacterial SSU rRNA". It matches the Rfam family "Bacterial small subunit ribosomal RNA", at positions 8 to 796 of the family's 1533-position model. The record is from RNAcentral.
AGAGUUUGAUCAUGGCUCAGAAUCAACGCUGGCGGCGUGCCUAACACAUGCAAGUCGAGCGAGAAAAGGGGGGCAACUCCCUGAGUACAGCGGCGCACGGGUGAGUAACACGUGGGUAAUCUGCCCUGAAGUGGGGAAUAACACCGGGAAACCGGUGCUAAUACCGCAUAUGAUCACGGUGUCUGCGGACACAGGGAUGAAAGGAGCAAUUCGCUUCAGGAGGAGCCCGCGGCUGAUUAGCUAGUUGGUGAGGUAAUGGCUCACCAAGGCUACGAUCAGUAUCCGGUCUGAGAGGACGGUCGGACACACUGGAACUGAGACACGGUCCAGACUCCUACGGGAGGCAGCAGUGGGGAAUUUUUCGCAAUGGGGGCAACCCUGACGAAGCAACGCCGCGUGGAUGAUGAAGUAUCUCGGUACGUAAAAUCCUUUCGACAGGGAAGAAACCGCAAGGUUGACGGUACCUGUAGAAGAAGCCCCGGCUAACUCCGUGCCAGCAGCCGCGGUAAUACGGGGGGGGCUAGCGUUGUUCGGAAUUACUGGGCGUAAAGGGCGCGUAGGCGGUCUGCUAAGUUGGAUGUGAAAACUCUGGGCUUAACCCAGAGCCUGCAUUCAAUACUGACAGGCUAGAGUUCUGGAGGGGAUAGCGGAAUUCCUGGUGUAGCGGUGAAAUGCGUAGAUAUCAGGAGGAACACCGGUGGCGAAGGCGGCUAUCUGGACAGAGUCUGACGCUGAGGCGCGAAAGCUAGGGGAGCAAACAGGAUUAGAUACCCUAGUAGUCC